UUACUUUGGACAAGUUUGGAUGUUGUCAAUUGCUUGAGCGUUGGAGUGGUAGAGAAUAGCUCUAUAUACUACUUUCAGUAUCUAAAGGUACUAAAAUCCUUCUGAAUGAACAAGCUACAUAUAAGCAGAUAGAUUAUGUAAAUAUAACAUGUUAUUUACGAGAAAAAAAUAAUACUACAAAACACAAGACGGUGUAGAUUUUGUUCCAAAAUCAUGACAAUAGUCCAUGACACUUGUUAUACACAAAAACCCUUAUUUAUUACUCAGUCCAAAAUACCCGUUUAUAAAAGACGUGCCCUUGUAAAUCCCUUUUGCUUUCAGCCACUCAAAGCUUUUUCACAUAACUAAUUAACAUCGAAGGAAAGAAAUGUAUCAGAAAUUUGAAACAGGCAAAGUCAAAUGGUGUUUAUAAAUACAUUGUCAAAACUCUUUCUUCUAGCCUUAGUAGAAAAAUGGUAAUUAUUUUAAAAUACUUUUUUUUUUCAAUUUAGGAAAGCGAAAGUCAGUUUCACUUAUUCCCUUUGCCUUCUCCAGAAGAACCCCGUUUUUGAGCACGCAGUUCACUUUUCUUAAGAGGUCUUGCAUCUUGAAUGUGCACAAUGUGUCUUUUAUGAGCAGCAAGAUUGGUGUCACUAGUCCAAAUUGGCAGAGAGGCACUGUCAGCUGUUUUAAUCGCAACAUUAUCAAUUGCAGACCACCCUUUCGGAAUGAAAUUAGUUAGCAGACACUUCAAUACAGUCGUAAUAUUCUCCAACAAUUGUUCAUUGGUUUGAGUGGCCAAACCACAGAGAAUGGUAUGACUAGUGCCGGCAGAUAACUUAAGAUAAGUAGAAUGAAGACAACGAGCAACUUGAUUACGCAAAGUCUCUUUCUUUUGUAAAACAGAAAUAGGAAAUGGCUUAAUUUUUUUCUGUUCAAAAACUUUCCCCAUCAAUAGGGGGAUGUAUUUUAAUACACGAUCAUCAACCAAAAAAAGGUUGUGAGAGUCUCGUAGCUCACAUUUUUCUCGGAUUGUUUUAUACUUUAAUUUCAAUCUCGGGAUGCUAAGUACUUUUGUAAUGACUUCGUCAAGCCCUUGUUGCUCCACCAGAUCUUGAUAUGUCUGCUGUGAAUCUUUCACAAUCAAACAAGCAUCUGUUACAUGCAUUAUCCUGUGCGGAAGGAAUCUGUAAAAUAGUUAGUACCUUAUAAUUUUAAUGAAGAACACG
Molecule: non-coding RNA, 1208 nt
Organism: Schizosaccharomyces pombe (fission yeast)
Lineage: Eukaryota; Fungi; Ascomycota; Schizosaccharomycetes; Schizosaccharomycetales; Schizosaccharomycetaceae
Source: the annotation of a GenBank genome assembly